Molecule: long non-coding RNA, 214 nt
Filed under: Mytilus galloprovincialis (Mediterranean mussel)
Lineage: Eukaryota; Metazoa; Mollusca; Bivalvia; Mytilida; Mytilidae
Source: RNAcentral
UGGACUUAGAAUUAAGUGAUUUUUUUUUUAAAUCAAUGGAAAUGAAUGUCUUUUGAAUAUAAUCGUUUUUGGCUGAACCUUUGAUAAUUGUCAUGUGAUUGGGGCAAUUUUGGUCCCCCCUCCCCCCCCCCCCCCCAAAAUAAAAAUAAUCCCGGAUUUACGCAUGAUCUACUCUUGUCAUUGCUGGCAGAAAAUCAGUUAGUGCAUACACGCC